GCAUUCUGGAAAAUGCUAGAGCAACCACAUGGAGUAGAAGGUUAUACACUUUGGGAGAGAAAAUCUAUAGGAAUUGCAGAAUGAGCAAACAUUAAUUCUGGAAGAAGAAUCACUCCAAUUUUUCCCUCUGAAAAGAAGAACAAGGGAAACAUAUGGCAUAAGUGCUUAAGGAAAUGUGAGUCAUGGCUUUGAUGAGGCAGCUCCUGAAAAAUCAGCUCCUUCUGCCACCAUAUAAAUAGCAUGAUAAGCCCUAUCGAAGGCUCUGAAGCAUCACAAAAUUGGAAGGAGAAGGAAUGGUAUGAUCUCAAAGUUCAGCAUUGUUCAUGUCAUGAGCAAGAGCCCUGGUAUGCAAGCAAUCUCCACAGCACCUGCGAGCCUCUCAGUAGUUCCCAAUACAAAGGCCAAGAACUAGUCAGCAAGGCUGCAAGGCCAGCAACCAAGUGCAAGUCCACAGAAAGUGUGCUGCAUCUGGAAUGACUGCUGACUGUACAGCCCCACAUCUGCCUUUAGGCCUUCAGUGGAUCUGACUUUACCUAACACGCCUCUGACUAGAGCAGGAAGCACCUGUCGUCUGCUUGGUAGGAAGAAUAAUUUGUUGUUAUUGCUGUACUUUCUGAUAGAUCACAUUUCUCUUCUUAACUAAUUCUUGGGUGAUUUCCUGGGCCUUCCUAAUUCCGGAGAAGUCAUUCUUUAUUCUUCUUUCCUAGAUGUGAGUUCUCAGAAUACAUCAAAGCCUCUUAUAUUUCAAAAUAUAUGAAAAAGAAUAUGUGAGUUUUUUCUUCAUCUUAGACUCCACCUCUAUAUCACUUGGGAGGGAUUAUGAAUAAAUUAUGACUAAAAGUUACCAGAUUUAUCUCUCUGAUGAGCAAAUCCAUUUCUAUAUCAAUAUUUAUUUUUGUGAACUAUCGGCUCCUAACUUUAGAACUAGUACUAUUUCAUAAAAUGAAUCUCCUGAAGAAACUUCUCAAGAAGUUUUGUGCAUCCAUAAAUCAGUCAGACUUUAUUUCUAAGACUCCUAAAAUUUAAACUAAUGGACAUACGUGGGGAUGAUCUAAAAACAUCGGUAAAUAUCAGAUGAGUCCUCAUUAACUAGAUAUCUGAGAGAUCAGAACAUAAGAAAAAUAAGAGAAGGGGAUGGAAGGACAUGGGGAAGAAGGUUGGGGUUUGUUCCAUUGGGAACUCUUAGGUGCAAAGAUGAGUAUCUUAAUGGUUUUGAGACUUACUUUAGCCCAUGAUAUAAAAUAG
Molecule: long non-coding RNA, 1245 nt
Filed under: Chinchilla lanigera (long-tailed chinchilla)
Lineage: Eukaryota; Metazoa; Chordata; Mammalia; Rodentia; Chinchillidae
Description: lncRNA (ENSCLAG00000022725.1)
Source: RNAcentral